CAGAAUGUGACUGAUUGAUGUGUGAACGUGCUGGUAUUCAGGAAUCUAGAAUUGUUGCUAUGGUGCUUCGGUGAGGAGUGUUACUGGUUGAGGUUUCCCAAGGGGACGCUACUGAGAAGCUGGCUCACCAAGUCCCGACCCAGACUGCUGCUACUCAUCGCCGGCUUGAAGAGACCGCAGGUCACCCUCAUGCGGAGGAAAAGGAUGAAACGCACAAAAGUAGCAAAGGCCACCUAAGCGAACCUGCAGUCGAAUGCCGCAUUUCACCUAAGUCACUGACACAGAGAAAGAGCCCACGUGUUGAAGAGAUGGAAGCAAAUCAAGACAUAGAGAAACCACAUUACCCAUAUCACCCAAACUUACAAACUAAACACCCAAGCGAAUCCAGAAGGGGUUCAGAGUGUGCUGUGAACAUGAGCUAUCUCCCACAAAGAUCCAGACCCCCUGACUAAAAUCUGGAGCAUUACAUUGAUGUUUGUUCAUCCUUCUCUCAAAUACACAUCUGUCAUGCUUCAUUAUACUACACUGCGAGUCACAGUACAUGAUUGCUAUCAUUACUCUUUUAAGUGCCUUUGGUUGACAGUGGUUUUACUGUGUUCUGUGGUCAGGAUUUCAGGGAUUUUUAUUUUUGAUGCCAAAUGAUGUGUGAGUGGAAAAAGAAAAAGAAAAAAGAUGUAUAGAUAUCAUAAGCUCUUAACUAGCACACCAGCAGGUUUUACAUACUGUUGAUCCGGUCAGACCGACCUUUACUUUGUCAUUAAGAGUAAAACAAUUCUUGUAAAUGUCAAUAUACAAUUAAAACAACCUUCACUAAUAUUUUAUAUCACACUACAAACAUACAUUUCUU
Xyrauchen texanus (razorback sucker) is the source of this 847-nucleotide long non-coding RNA. RefSeq lists it as uncharacterized. Lineage: Eukaryota; Metazoa; Chordata; Actinopteri; Cypriniformes; Catostomidae. The record is from RefSeq and is a predicted model, not a curated record. The transcript is spliced from 3 exons.